AACGAACGCUGGCGGCAUGCCUAACACAUGCAAGUCGAACGAGACCUUCGGGUCUAGUGGCGCACGGGUGCGUAACGCGUGGGAACCUGCCCUUGGGUUUGGCAGAACUCCCCGAAAGGGGUGCGAAAACCGGCUAAAGUCCUCGGAACAAAGAUUGAUCGCAGUUGGAUGGGCCUGCGUUGGAUUAGCUAGAUGGUAGGGUAAAAGCGUACAAAGGCGACGAUCCGUAGAUGGUCUGAGAGGAUGCUCAGCCACACUGGGGCUGGGACACGGCCAAGACUCCUACGGGAUGCAGCAGUGGGGAAUAUUGGACUGUGGGCGGAAGCCUGAUCCAGCUAGGCCGCUUGAGUGAUGAAGGCCUUAGGGUUGUAAAGCUCGUUUACCCGGGAUUAUAAUGACAGUACCGAGAGAAUAAGCACCGGCUAACUCCGUG
RNAcentral lists this ribosomal RNA (433 nucleotides) under uncultured bacterium. RNAcentral describes it as "partial 16S ribosomal RNA". It matches the Rfam family "Bacterial small subunit ribosomal RNA", at positions 29 to 507 of the family's 1533-position model. The record is from RNAcentral.